GCAGACACAUUCCAUCCAAUCAGCAGCAGACCCUCCCUCCCAGACCUUCCCAACUCCUGGACAGCAUCCAUUGUGAAGCUGCAUUCUUAGUGAGCUGUCCAGGAGGUGGGAGGGUCUGGGAGGGAGGGUCUGCUGCUGAUUGGCUGGAAUGUGUCUG
This 157-nucleotide microRNA precursor is filed under the name Pelobates cultripes (western spadefoot toad). The record is from RNAcentral. Lineage: Eukaryota; Metazoa; Chordata; Amphibia; Anura; Pelobatidae.